CUACGGGAUGCUCCAGUGGGGAAUAUUGCACAAUGGACGAAAGUCUGAUGCAGCAACGCCGCGUGGAGGAUGACACAUUUCGGUGCGUAAACUCCUUUUAUAUAGGAAGAUAAUGACGGUACUAUAUGAAUAAGCACCGGCUAACUCCGUGCCAGCAGCCGCGGUAAUACGGAGGGUGCAAGCGUUACUCGGAAUCACUGGGCGUAAAGAGCGUGUAGGCGGGUUAAUAAGUUGGAAGUGAAAUCCUAUGGCUCAACCAUAGAACUGCUUCCAAAACUGUUAGCCUAGAAUAUGGGAGAGGUAGAUGGAAUUUCUGGUGUAGGGGUAAAAUCCGUAGAGAUCAGAAGGAAUACCGAUUGCGAAGGCGAUCUACUGGAACAUUAUUGACGCUGAGACGCGAAAGCGUGGGGAGCAAACAGGAUUAGAUACCCGCGUAGUC
RNAcentral lists this ribosomal RNA (439 nucleotides) under uncultured bacterium. RNAcentral's name for it is "partial 16S ribosomal RNA". It matches the Rfam family "Bacterial small subunit ribosomal RNA", at positions 339 to 795 of the family's 1533-position model. The record is from RNAcentral.